Hibiscus syriacus is the source of this 735-nucleotide long non-coding RNA. RefSeq lists it as uncharacterized. The transcript has 4 exons. Lineage: Eukaryota; Viridiplantae; Streptophyta; Magnoliopsida; Malvales; Malvaceae. The record is from RefSeq and is a predicted model, not a curated record.
CAGAUCAACUACCUAACAAGGAAGAAAGGGUGGAACCAUGCCAUUUUAGUUCAUCUCUUUACUAUGGUGGCCGAGACUCAUAUUCCCAUUCCUCGAGUGGCCAAACUUCAACACCAUAUCCAAUUUUUAAGAAAGAUGGGGGAGAAGAUGACCCUAAUGGAAACAAUUCAAUGGAUGCUUCCAGAGGGAAUUGGUGGCAAGGUUCGCUUUAUUAUUAGAGCCCAACUUUCCUAUGCAUCUGAAUCCUCCAAGUAAUCAUAUGGAAGAACAUGAAGCAUGAAUAAGUUUCUGCCACUUGAGAUUUACAAAUCCUUUCAGUAAUAUCUUUUUUUUUUCUUCAUGAUUUUAAUCUGGGAAUGAAGCUUGAGAAGUUCUUCAUUACAUCGUACUUCUUCAUCACAAAAAAACAGGCCAAAAACACACGAAGUGUUUAACCCCCAUUCAACGCUACACUCCCUGCUUAAAUGCCUUCCCUUGCAAGCUGCCCAGCUUCCAACGAACAACAUCCUUCAGGCAGGCCACCAGAUCAACCUCAAGCCUUUGUACACCCCAAAAAAAUCGUCUGUUCCUUUCCUUACAAAUCAAGGCAAUACAAUCAUUUCAUGCCAAACGAAACACCGUCGAAAGCAAAGACUUGCCCUUAACAUUCAUGCAAGCCCGGCUAAGUUCUUGAUCUAAACGCAAAAUCGGUCUAGACAAACCACAAGCACAAUAAAAAGGUUCCGAUGGACGAAC